GGAGGGUAUAGCUCAGUGGUAGAGCACAUGCUUAUUAAGCAUGAGGUCCUGGGUUCAAUCCCCAGUACCUCCA
RNAcentral lists this transfer RNA (73 nucleotides) under Vicugna pacos (alpaca). RNAcentral's name for it is "tRNA-Asn (ATT) (tRNA-Asn-ATT-1-1)". It matches the Rfam family "tRNA". Rfam says of the family: Transfer RNA (tRNA) molecules are approximately 80 nucleotides in length. Their secondary structure includes four short double-helical elements and three loops (D, anti-codon, and T loops). Lineage: Eukaryota; Metazoa; Chordata; Mammalia; Artiodactyla; Camelidae. The record is from RNAcentral.